This 253-nucleotide ribosomal RNA is filed under the name uncultured bacterium. RNAcentral describes it as "partial 16S ribosomal RNA". It matches the Rfam family "Bacterial small subunit ribosomal RNA", at positions 524 to 776 of the family's 1533-position model. The record is from RNAcentral.
UACGUAGGGAGCAAGCGUUGUCCGGAAUUAUUGGGCGAAAAGAGCUCGUAGGCGGUUAGUCGCGUCUGCUGUGAAAGUUCGGGGCUCAACCCCGGAACUGCAGUGGGUACGGGCAGACUAGAGUGCGGUAGAGGAGACUGGAAUUCCUGGUGUAGCGGUGGAAUGCGCAGAUAUCAGGAGGAACACCAGUGGCGAAGGCGGGUCUCUGGGCCGCAACUGACGCUGAGGAGCGAAAGCGUGGGGAGCGAACAGG